RNAcentral lists this ribosomal RNA (274 nucleotides) under uncultured bacterium. RNAcentral's name for it is "partial 16S ribosomal RNA". It matches the Rfam family "Bacterial small subunit ribosomal RNA", at positions 523 to 796 of the family's 1533-position model. The record is from RNAcentral.
CUACGGAGGGUCCAAGCGUUAUCCGGAUUCAUUGGGUUUAAAGGGUCCGCAGGCGGGAAAAUAAGUCAGUGGUGAAAGCCUACAGCUCAACUGUAGAACUGCCAUUGAUACUGUUUUUCUUGAGUAUAGAUGAAGUGGGCGGAAUAUAUCAUGUAGCGGUGAAAUGCAUAGAUAUGAUAUAGAACACCGAUUGCGAAGGCAGCUCACUAGACUAUUACUGACGCUCAGGGACGAAAGCGUGGGGAGCGAACAGGAUUAGAAACCCUAGUAGUCC